Molecule: long non-coding RNA, 469 nt
Filed under: Sorghum bicolor (sorghum)
Lineage: Eukaryota; Viridiplantae; Streptophyta; Magnoliopsida; Poales; Poaceae
Description: long non-coding RNA (SBIC_LNC002175)
Source: RNAcentral
AGCAGCUAAAUAAUUGAUAGUGCUUUCUGUAGCACCCGGUUUUAAGAACAAAACCAGAUACACACCAUAUGUGAGCCCAGGAAGUCAAAUCUCACAUAUAGCCACAAAUAGGGGUAAUAUCAAUAGACAAUGCUUAUAUAUAACGAACUUAGUAUAAAAGAUAUAACCUUAGAUAGCAAACAACGGAAUGACACUCCGUUCUUCAGGCGAAAACUCCAAAUCCACAGGGACAACUGACUGGUUGAGCACAAGCCUAAACUCUUCUCCAAACUUGCAAGAUGGUACCCAUCCGGGAUUUUUAUCCAAAUAAAAUGUAAAGGCAAGCGUAAGUACAUCUCGUACUCAGCAAGAAUAACAUAGGGUUCAUGAGGCUCAAAGGCUAGACACUGGUUUAACUGUAUGUAGCUUUUAGUUGUCACAAUUUUAGCAUUUGAGUAGCAUCAAGUUGUCGAGUCCCAAAGCAAACUCA